Molecule: ribosomal RNA, 496 nt
Filed under: uncultured bacterium
Lineage: Bacteria
Description: partial 16S ribosomal RNA
Rfam family: Bacterial small subunit ribosomal RNA
Source: RNAcentral
GAUGAACGCUGGCGGCGUGCCUAAUACAUGCAAGUCGAGCGGACGGACGAGAAGCUUGCUUCUCUGACGUUAGCGGCGGACGGGUGAGUAACACGUGGAUAACCUACCUAUAAGACUGGGAUCACUUCGGGAAACCGGAGCUAAUACCGGAUAAUAUUUUGAACCGCAUGGUUCAAAAGUGAAAGACGGUCUUGCUGCCACUUAUAGAUGGAUCCGCGCUGCAUUAGCGAGUUGGUAGGUUAACGGCUUACCAAGGCAACGGUGCAUAGCCGACCUGUGGGGGGGUUCGCCCCCACUGGAGCUGAGCGGCGGUCCAGAGUCCUAGGGAAGGCCGAAGUUGGUACUCGUCCGCAAAGGGCGAAAUCCUGCAGAAUCAGCGCCGCGUGAGUGAUGAAGCUCUUCGGGUCGGAAAACUCUGUUAGGAGGGAAGACCAUAUGUGUAAGUAACUGAGCACAUCUGGAGGGUACCGAAUCAGAAGACCACGGCUACUUCGGU